Molecule: RNA transcript, 2161 nt
Organism: Hippocampus zosterae (dwarf seahorse)
Lineage: Eukaryota; Metazoa; Chordata; Actinopteri; Syngnathiformes; Syngnathidae
Gene name: cell adhesion molecule DSCAML1-like
Exons: 13
Source: RefSeq, a predicted model, not a curated record
UUGCCACUUGAAGGAGAAGGAACCAAAACCACAAAGAAGGAAGCAGACCUCUUCUACAUCCCACCUUGGCCGGCAAAACUGUUUGUGUGAGCACAUCGAAGACACCAGCAUGUGACUUCGAAACUUGUCAGAGCUGCAACCUCUCUGCGGUCCACUUUGAUGCCCAGUAGCAGGUGAAUGAAGUUCUUCACUGAGCUGAUGUUACCAUGACUUACCGGUACUUUGUCAGUAGAUACUACAGUUUGUGUUGCAUCCUCUACUUUCUUCUAGAGUGCAGCUUUGCAGCGAAAGUGGAGGUUAAAGUUGGGGCAGACAUCACUUUAACGUGCAAGUACGACGCUCGCUACUAUGGCAAGCUGUCAGUGUGCUGGGGUCGAGGUCCACUCCCCAGCAGGGGCUGCGCCAACGAGGUCAUCAAGACGGACGGAACAUCGGUCACCAGCAGAUCUUCAGAGCGCUACCUGCUCAUGGGUAACAUCGUGGAGGGAGAUGUGUCACUGACCAUCAGACGGGUUGUGGAGAGCGACUUGGGCGUGUACGGCUGCCGUGUGGAAAUCCCAGGCUGGUUCAACGACCGCAAACAUCAGAUGAGCCUGAUGGUGGUUCCAGCGCAGCCUGAUGCACUCAAGGUGGAGAUGCAAGAGGUCAGAGACAGAACUGUCACCGUGAGCUGGUCUCAUGUGUUUGACGGCGGGAGGCCCAUCGAGUCUUAUAGGAUUGACCUCAAGAGCAAAGAGGCUCUUUGGGAUACCGCAGUGACAACUCACAUGUCAAAUCCAAACCUGACUCGGGUCACCCUCGUGGACUUGCGGCCAGCUAAGUAUUAUAGCCUUCGCAUGUUUGCAAUCAACAGUCAGGGCAUAAGUGAUGCCAGUAAUGUUCUCACAGUCGCCACAGAAGAAGCAGCGCCAGAUGGCCCGCCACUAGACAUGCAUCUCCAAGCGUUCUCGUCCACAAGCAUCAGAGUGUCUUGGAAGCCUCCUAGGUCCGACCUGAGAAAUGGUGUUAUACAAAGUUACAGCGUCAGCUACAGAGAGUACGACCCUGUCGGCAGACAUUUCAAAUGGUGGCAGCGGCAAAGUGUCACGGCCACAAAGCCGCAAGAGAGCCUCAUCCUGAGUGGAUUGAGGCCUUCCACACAGUACAGUGUGCUGAUAAAGGCCCAGACCAACGCAGGACUCGGGCCUGCAUCGAGCGCGCCCCUCUGCUCCACUUUGGCUGACACUCUCCCAACAUCCACCCAGGCAACAGUCAACACACUCUUCACCAUUACAUGGCCGAUGCCAGACACCACAAGGUUCAUCUCAGAUGUCACAACUCCAGCUGCAAAUGUGAAUGCCAGCGAGGCAUGGGAACAAAGCGCAACAGGUUUUUCCUCAGUUCCUCCAGAUCCCCCUGUUGUUGAGUUGAAGGAGGUUCGAGACAAUACAGUUUCUCUCUCCUGGACUCCUGGGUAUGGCGGAGAUGCCCCCAUUUCCGGAUAUUUUCUUGAGUAUAAAGCCUUGAAUGGCUCAUGGGAUGUUAAAAAGACAGUCGUGGACUUCAGCCCAAACCAGACAGAGGCCACCAUCAUAGAGAUCAAUCCCUCCACAUACAACAUCCGCAUGUUUGCCAAGAGCAGUCUGGGUAUAAGUAAAGCGAGCAACAUCCUUACUUUCACGACUGGAGAAACAGGUCACCAGCAGGAUGUUUUCUCAACACCCACAACCAGUAAUACUCAUGCUGCAACGAGCUCUGAGAACGGUGGAAAUGGCCGCAUUGUUGCCAUCGUUUUUCCACUUGUGCUGGUGUUGUUGAUUCUUGCCAUUGUGACUACAUGGCACCUGAGACGUGAGUAUGCUAAAUGAGCGAGAGAUACUUCGGAUCCAGCAAGUCCCUUUGAUGAACUGUCCCGCGUGUGUGCCCUCACAGGUGGCUGAGCCGCGGAGUAAUACUUUACAGAGGUUCUGAGUCCAUGCAGGAGCUGUGAGACAUGACUCUUUAAAAGAUGUCAACAUGAAUACCAGCGAUAGCAAUAUGCUUUCCUUUCAUUUUGUACUGUAUGCCUACUGUGAAACAUGGAGGAGUAUGGCCCUUAUAAAUGGCUUGCCGUAGUGGAGCCUUAUCAGUAUGUUACUGUAUCCCAGUAUAUUAGUGUAUCAUCAAUAAAUAAAUAAAUACA